This 450-nucleotide ribosomal RNA is filed under the name uncultured bacterium. RNAcentral describes it as "partial 16S ribosomal RNA". It matches the Rfam family "Bacterial small subunit ribosomal RNA", at positions 354 to 796 of the family's 1533-position model. The record is from RNAcentral.
GUGGGGAAUAUUGGACAAUGGGCGAAAGCCUGAUCCAGCCAUGCCGCGUGUGUGAAGAAGGUCUUCGGAUUGUAAAGCACUUUAAGUUGGGAGGAAGGGUAGUAACCUAAUACGUUGCUACUUUGACGUUACCGACAGAAUAAGCACCGGCUAACUUCGUGCCAGCAGCCGCGGUAAUACGAAGGGUGCAAGCGUUAAUCGGAAUUACUGGGCGUAAAGUGCGCGUAGGUGGUUCAGUAAGUUGGAAGUGAAAUCCCCGGGCUCAACCUGGGAACUGCUUUCAAAACUGCUGAGCUAGAGUACGGUAGAGGGUGGUGGAAUUUCCUGUGUAGCGGUGAAAUGCGUAGAUAUAGGAAGGAACACCAGUGGCGAAGGCGACCACCUGGACUGAUACUGACACUGAGGUGCGAAAGCGUGGGGAGCAAACAGGAUUAGAUACCCGAGUAGUCC